GAUGAACGCUGGCGGCGUGCCUAACACAUGCAAGUCGAACGGAAAGGCCCUGCUCUUGUGGGGUGCUCGAUUGCCGAACGGGUGAGUAACACGUGUGUAUCCUGCCCUUGUCUUUCGGAUAACAUCACGAAACUGGGGCUAAUAUCGGAUAGGAUCUCCUGCUCCAUGGUGGGCGUUGGAAAGUUUCGGCGGUUGGGGAUGGACUAGCGGCUUAUCCGCUUGUUUGUGGGGUAGUGGCUUACCAAGGCUUUGACGGGUAGCCGGCCUGGGAGGGUGACCGGCGACAUUGGGACUGAGGUACGGACCAGACUGCUACGGGAGGCAGCGGUGGGGAGUAUUGCACAAUGGGCGGAAGCCUGAUGCAGAAGCGCCGCGUGCGGAAUGACGGCCUUCGGGUUGUAAACCGCUUUCGCCUGUGACGAAGCGUGAGUGACGGUAAUGAGUAAAGAAGCACCGGCUAACUACGUG
RNAcentral lists this ribosomal RNA (468 nucleotides) under uncultured bacterium. RNAcentral's name for it is "partial 16S ribosomal RNA". It matches the Rfam family "Bacterial small subunit ribosomal RNA", at positions 28 to 507 of the family's 1533-position model. The record is from RNAcentral.